This is a non-coding RNA of Hydra vulgaris (swiftwater hydra), 895 nucleotides long. Lineage: Eukaryota; Metazoa; Cnidaria; Hydrozoa; Anthoathecata; Hydridae. The record is from RefSeq and is a predicted model, not a curated record.
UGGACUCUAUAAUAAAUUCUAAAUAUUCAUAAUGUGUAAGAUUAGUAUGGGGUGCUUUCAAUGGUGAGUUGUAGUGGCGUGUGAUGUUCAAGUAAACGCUAAAUUAUAGUGGGGUGGUGAUGGUAUGACUUAUUAAGUAUGUAAAUGUGAUAAAGGAAAUGUUUUUCUUACCGUGUUGCUGGGUGUUGUAGUAGGGUAUAUAUUUAUGUAAUUAUUCGAUGCCAUUGUUCGUGUUGUCGUUAAUGUGGAUUUUUUUAUUAAAUAAACGUAAAAAAAUAUAUUUCUGAACGCCAAAGUUGCUUUUUCUUCGCUUGUUAGCAGAUAUCUGAUACGAACGAAACGUGUGCACAUAAAAAUGUAAAACUUCUGUUUUUAGAAAUUCCAUUGUUCUAUCGUUGUAAGUUUUCAAUGGUCUAUUGUUCUAUUUACGUGUCAGAGCUUCUUUAGUCUCCGCGAAAAGAGUUAGGUAAUUCUCAAGUUUAUUUGAUAGUGCAGCUGGUGUUAAAUAUUUAUGUGUUUGGGCUGCUCAUUGUUUUAGCUGGAUCUUGAAAGUUAAGAUAAAAACAUCGAGAGAGGGUCGCCACAUCAGCCAACGAAGGGUCAGUCGGGGAACCGACCUCCUCAAAUCGUUAACUUAUUGGCAACUAGGCUUCUAUGCUGAUACCUCAACGAUGCAGGAUCACCGUUAAAUUUCAAAAAUAUCAUGAAACUAGACUUGUGAGAUGGAGAGCAACGAAGAAGGGUCACUGAAUCAGCCAGCGAAGGGCCAGUCAGAAAUCCGACCUCCUCAAAUCGUUAACCUGUCAGCGACAAUUGUUAUUGCCGAUCAACCCCACUCUGUCUGUUCCAUCUUUCUUUUUUAUAAAAAUAGAAUGAUAUUAAUAUAAAUAAGUAA